RNAcentral lists this ribosomal RNA (566 nucleotides) under uncultured bacterium. RNAcentral describes it as "partial 16S ribosomal RNA". It matches the Rfam family "Bacterial small subunit ribosomal RNA", at positions 355 to 914 of the family's 1533-position model. The record is from RNAcentral.
UGGGGAAUUUUGGACAAUGGGGGAAACCCUGAUCCAGCCAUCCCGCGUGUGCGAUGAAGGCCUUCGGGUUGUAAAGCACUUUUGGCAGGAAAGAAACGUCGCGGGUUAAUACCCCGCGAAACUGACGGUACCUGCAGAAUAAGCACCGGCUAACUACGUGCCAGCAGCCGCGGUAAUACGUAGGGUGCAAGCGUUAAUCGGAAUUACUGGGCGUAAAGCGUGCGCAGGCGGUCCGGAAAGAAAGAUGUGAAAUCCCAGAGCUUAACUUUGGAACUGCAUUUUUAACUACCGGGCUAGAGUGUGUCAGAGGGAGGUGGAAUUCCGCGUGUAGCAGUGAAAUGCGUAGAUAUGCGGAGGAACACCGAUGGCGAAGGCAGCCUCCUGGGAUAACACUGACGCUCAUGCACGAAAGCGUGGGGAGCAAACAGGAUUAGAUACCCUGGUAGUCCACGCCCUAAACGAUGUCAACUAGCUGUUGGGGCCUUCGGGCCUUGGUAGCGCAGCUAACGCGUGAAGUUGACCGCCUGGGGAGUACGGUCGCAAGAUUAAAACUCAAAUGAAUUGAC